Molecule: microRNA, 22 nt
Filed under: Zea mays
Lineage: Eukaryota; Viridiplantae; Streptophyta; Magnoliopsida; Poales; Poaceae
Description: zma-miR395m-5p
Gene: zma-miR395m-5p
Source: miRBase by way of RNAcentral
GUUCCUUUCAAACACUUCACAU